CGGUUUGUCGCGUCUGCUGUGAAAUCCCGAGGCUCAACCUCGGGCCUGCAGUGGGUACGGGCAGACUAGAGUGCGGUAGGGGAGAUUGGAAUUCCUGGUGUAGCGGUGGAAUGCGCAGAUAUCAGGAGGAACACCGAUGGCGAAGGCAGAUCUCUGGGCCGUAACUGACGCUGAGGAGCGAAAGGGUGGGGAGCAAACAGGCUUAGAUACCCUGGUAGUCCACCCCGUAAACGUUGGGAACUAGUUGUGGGGUCCAUUCCACGGAUUCCGUGACGCAGCUAACGCAUUAAGUUCCCCGCCUGGGGAGUACGGCCGCAAGGCUAAAACUCAAAGGAAUUGACGGGGACCCGCACAAGCGGCGGAGCAUGCGGAUUAAUUCGAUGCAACGCGAAGAACCUUACCAAGGCUUGACAUAUACGAGAACGGGCCAGAAAUGGUCAACUCUUUGGACACUCGUAAACAGGUGGUGCAUGGUUGUCGUCAGCUCGUGUCGUGAGAUGUUGGGUUAAGUCCCGCAACGAGCGCAACCCUCGUUCUAUGUUGCCAGCACGUAAUGGUGGGAACUCAUGGGAUACUGCCGGGGUCAACUCGGAGGAAGGUGGGGAUGACGUCAAAUCAUCAUGCCCCUUAUGUCUUGGGCUUCACGCAUGCUACAAUGGCCGGUACAAAGGGCUGCAAUACCGUGAGGUGGAGCG
This 695-nucleotide ribosomal RNA is filed under the name Microbacterium sp. XYL_344. RNAcentral describes it as "bacterial SSU rRNA". It matches the Rfam family "Bacterial small subunit ribosomal RNA", at positions 576 to 1269 of the family's 1533-position model. Lineage: Bacteria; Bacillati; Actinomycetota; Actinomycetes; Micrococcales; Microbacteriaceae. The record is from RNAcentral.